GCCAAUGAUGAUAGUUUUUGUUUCACUGAAUGUAAGUAUGUGGUGUACUUGCAUUAAUGUUGAAUUCCAUGAACUAGGACGGUCUGAGGC
This is a small nucleolar RNA of Macadamia integrifolia, 90 nucleotides long. RefSeq annotates it as small nucleolar RNA snoR20a. NCBI's taxonomy places the organism in Eukaryota, Viridiplantae, Streptophyta, Magnoliopsida, Proteales, Proteaceae. The transcript has a single exon. The record is from RefSeq and is a predicted model, not a curated record.